Molecule: non-coding RNA, 117 nt
Filed under: Homo sapiens (human)
Lineage: Eukaryota; Metazoa; Chordata; Mammalia; Primates; Hominidae
Source: Rfam by way of RNAcentral
GCCAGGUGUGGUGGCUCACGCCUGUAAUCCCAACACCUAGGGAGGCUGAGGCAGGUGGAUCACUUGAGGUCAGGGGUUCGAGACCAGCCUGGCCAACAUGGUGAAACCCUGUCUCUA